RNAcentral lists this ribosomal RNA (400 nucleotides) under phytoplankton environmental sample. RNAcentral's name for it is "partial small subunit ribosomal RNA". It matches the Rfam family "Eukaryotic small subunit ribosomal RNA", at positions 587 to 984 of the family's 1831-position model. The record is from RNAcentral.
AGCUCCAAGAGCGUAUAUUAAAGUUGUUGCAGUUAAAAAGCUCGUAGUUGGAUUUCUGGUACAAUGCGCCUAGCCCGCCGCGUUAUGCGUGUGAGUGCUGGUGCGCGUUUGCCAUCCUUCUAGAAAACGUUUCUACCCUUUACUGGGCCGGACUCGCGAUCUAGAUCUUUUACUUUGAAAAAAUUAGAGUGUUUAAAGCAGGCUAUUGCUAUGAAUACAUUAGCAUGGAAUAAUAAUCUAGGACUUCGGUUCUAUUUUGUUGGUUUCUAUAACUGAAGUAAUGAUUGAUAGGGAUAGUUGGGGGUGCUAGUAUUGGCCGGCCAGAGGUGAAAUUCUUGGAUUCGGUCAAGACUAACUUAUGCGAAAGCAUUCACCAAGGAUGUCUUCUUUAAUCAAGAAC